Long non-coding RNA from Syzygium oleosum, 308 nucleotides. RefSeq lists it as uncharacterized. NCBI's taxonomy places the organism in Eukaryota, Viridiplantae, Streptophyta, Magnoliopsida, Myrtales, Myrtaceae. The record is from RefSeq and is a predicted model, not a curated record. The transcript has 4 exons.
CAUACAUACUUCUGGAUAGCAUUCAUUCCAUUCAUUGUGAGUUACCUCUUCUGUUCCCCCUAAAUUUAUUGCGCAUGUCUAUCUUCAUGGUAGCCAUUUAUGUAAAAGCGAAUAUAUAGCCGUGAUUAAUGAACUAAAAAUGGAAAAUAUGAAGCAGGAGGAGUUUUCAAACUAGAGUUGUUUUUGCCUGAAGAAUAUCCUAUGGCUGCUCCUUAGGUUAGGUUUCUCACAAAAAUAUACCAUCCCAAUAUUGAAAAGCUUGGUAGGAUAUGCCUCGACAUCUUGAAAGACAAGUGGAGUCCUGCACU